CACGUAGGGUGCGAGCGUUGUCCGGAAUUAUUGGGCGUAAAGAGCUCGUAGGCGGCUUGUCACGUCGGGUGUGAAAGCCCGGGGCUUAACCCCGGGUCUGCAUUCGAUACGGGCUAGCUAGAGUGUGGUAGGGGAGAUCGGAAUUCCUGGUGUAGCGGUGAAAUGCGCAGAUAUCAGGAGGAACACCGGUGGCGAAGGCGGAUCCCUGGGCCAUUACUGACGCUGAGGAGCGAAAGCGUGGGGAGCGAACAGG
Molecule: ribosomal RNA, 253 nt
Filed under: uncultured bacterium
Lineage: Bacteria
Description: partial 16S ribosomal RNA
Rfam family: Bacterial small subunit ribosomal RNA
Source: RNAcentral